Molecule: long non-coding RNA, 7965 nt
Filed under: Nicotiana tabacum (common tobacco)
Lineage: Eukaryota; Viridiplantae; Streptophyta; Magnoliopsida; Solanales; Solanaceae
Description: long non-coding RNA (NTAB_LNC000132)
Source: RNAcentral
UAUUGACAUUUAGGUUUAGUUCAGUUUGUCUAUCUUCCUCCCUCAAGUAGGAGGGAGGCGAAGACACACCCAACUUGCCAAUAAUAGAUCAAUGAGCCUGUCCUGACAAAGGCUUGGUAAAGAUGUUGGCAAUUUGGAGACGCGAAGGAAGAUAAGACAGAGAAAUAAUGCCGGCGAGAAACUGUUGUCGGACAAAAUGGCAAUCCAGCUCCAUGUGCUUAGUACGCUCAUGAAAUACUAGAUUCUUUGCAAUGUGAAUCGCCGCUUGGCUAUCAGAGUGAAGAGUCACUGGCAAAGAUGGCGUAAUAGACAAAUCUUCAAAUAAUCGAACCAACUAGGUAAUUUCUGCUACUACCCUUCUCAUCGAACGAUAUUCUGCUUCAGCGGACGAUAAAGAAACUAAGGUUGUUUCUUUGACUUCUAGGAAAUCGGUGAACCCCCAAAAUUGAUGUAGAAUCCACUGAUUGAAUGACGUGAUUCUGGGCAAGAACCCCAAUCGGAAUUGCAAAAGGCAACAAGAGGCAAAGAUGGAACGGAAUUCAUGAAAAUCCCCAAACUUGGGUCCACAAGAAGAUACCUCAAACAAUGAAAAGCUGCAUCCAAAUGAGGUUGUCGAGGAGCCUGCAUGUAUUGGCUCAGGUGCUGAACUGCGAAAGACAGAUCAUGAUGUGUAUGAAUUAGGAAAUUCAACUUUUCUAAGAGUCAGCGGAAGAAAAUAGGAUCUAAUAUCAGUUCUCAUUCAUCAGCCCUAAGCUUACGGGUGGGAUCAAUGGGCGAGGAAGUAGGCUUCAAAUCAAGACAUCCAAACUCAGUCAAUAUAAAGCGUUUCUGAGUCAAAAUUAAUCCCAGCGGAUCACGUAUAAUUUUCAUGCCUAAGAAAUAGUGAGUAUGCCCAAAUCCUUGAUUUUAAAUUCAGCAUGAAGAAAUUCCUUUAGCUGAACUUGUUCAAUUGGAUCAUCCCCUAUAAUUAGAAUGUCAUCCACAUAUACUGUGAUGAGAAUAAUCUUCCCAUCUGAUUUAAAGUUCAAAGCUGCAGUUAGCCUGACAUACCACUGUUUUGAGGCUUGCCGCAGUUCAUAAAGUGACUUCCUUAAAAGACAGACAUGAUUAGGGGAAGGUGGUGAUAUUCCUGGUGGAAACUUCAUAAACACUUCUUCCUGCAAAUCACCAUGCAGGAAGGCAUUAUUGACGUCUAGUUGAAAUAAAUCCCAUCCUUUCUUGACUGCUAUUGCAAGAUUACACCUAAUAAUUGUCAUCUUAACCACCGGUGAAAAAGUCUCCAUGAAAUAAAUUUCUUCUCUUUGUGUGUCUCCUCUAAUGACCAAACGAGCUUUGAACCUUUCUAAAGAACCAUCAGAUUUAUAUUUUACCUUGUAAAUUCAUUUACAAGGUAGAGCCCCUUCCCUGUAGGCAAAGGAAUAAAAUCGCAACUCUUAUUUGCCUCAAAUUCUUUAGCCAUAGCCUCCUACCAACCUGGGUGAAGUGAUACUUAAGAGUAGAAUAUUGGCUCAGAUAUAUAUGAAAUAGAUUUGAGCAUGAUUUGAUUUGUGGGAGAAAGAGCACAAAAAGGCAAUACAAUUGAUUUAAUAGGUGCAAAGAAACAAGAAUCAGUAAGGUUAGUAAGAAAAACAUAAUUGCAUACAUAAUUAUUAAGAUAAACAUGGGGUCUUAUUUGUUCUGAUAAAUUUUCUGAUUUCAGGUAACAGAAGACAAACAAUAUUCAGAAGAGGUGAAUGAGAAUGAGUAAUUGAGAUAUGUGACGUAGGAUAGAUAAGAGAACUUCUAGCAAAUGGUAUUGGUGACUGGGAGUAGAUAGUUGAAAGUGGUGAAUAAGAACCAUGCAUGGUGAACCCCUAGCAAUAGAGUCAUGGUUGGAAAAAGUGGUAGUAGGUGAAGAAGGAAACUCAGAAAUAGGAACUCCAUGCUGAGAAGGCAAUGUAGGAAAAAGAGGUUGAUUUCUCACUUUAGAAAAAAAAGGAAAAAUGAAUUCAUGAAAUUUAACAUCACUAGAAACAAAAAGUUUCAUGUUUUGUAAAUUUAAAAACUUGUAACCCUUCUUCCCAAAAGAAUAUAAAGACACAAGGGACUGACCUUGGGUCAAGUUUACUUAUGUGAUGUGGUAAAGUGCUAGCAUAGACAAGGCAACCAAAACUCUUAAGAGAGUGAUACUGUAACACCCAGGAAAAUUUUGAAGAAUUUAAGUGUAAAGUCCGGUAAAAUUUGCAAAGAAAAUAUUGUUUCAUGGUGCCGGACCUUUUGGGUUGAACAAUGCACGGAAAAGUAAAGAAAUAUUUUUGGCGGAAAAGUGUAUUUCUACGGUCCAUUAUGCGACCGCAGAAUCACUCUGCGGACCGCAUAAUGGCCGCAAAGUGAGGCAGUUAAUUGGGUCAGUUGAAAGCAAUUAUGCGGUCGACUAUGCGACCGCAUAACUGUUAUGCGAUGUACUAUGCGACCGCAGAACAGUUAUGUGGACCGCAUAGUGACCGCAGACUCAGGCAGAUUUUUGGUCAUUUUGGACACCAAUUAUGCGACCGAUAUGCGGUCGCAUAUGCAACCGCAGAACCUGUUCCGGAGCUUCAUUUUUGAAUUUUUAAAACCCGACCCUAUUUCGUUAAAUACACUCUUUGGGUUAUUUUUGAGGUAUAAUAUGAUAUUUUAGAGUGAGAGAGAGUGCCCUAGAGUGAGAAGGUAUUCCUCAAUAAUUGAUUCUUCAAUUCUUGCUCAAGUUUUGGAAGAUUAAGGAGGGAAACUCACUAGGUCUUCAUCCUAGAGGUAAGAUUCUAUACCCUAACCCUCAAUUUCAAAUUUUGUCUAGAAAUGGGCAAUAAGCAAGAUAAUUUCUGGGCAAGAGGGUUAUUUAUUUUACAUGCAUGUGUUAUCAAAGGGUGUAGAAAGAUUGUUGAGCUAAAAAUGGUAAAGAUUGGGUUGUGGGAUGAUGGAAUCCUCCAUAAAAGGACCUUGAACCUUAAUCCACACUUAGUGUUUGACGAAAUGCUAAAAUAAGCUGAGACCAUGAAUAUCUUCCUAAUUAUGGUUCAAUUUUGUUAUGUCUCAAAUAGAUUGGGAUUGCUAAAAUUUCUGGAAUAUUAUAGUAAUUUAAGAAAAGCUCAAUUAAGGUAUGUUGGCUAAAUUUUCUCUCUUGGAAUUGAAUUCCAUAAUAUUUAUGUGAGUUUCAAAGUAUGGGUUGGGUAUUAAAAUGUGGUGGCUUGAAUCGUAUUUCAAAUGAAAGUUAGUAUGCCAAAUUGUGUGAGAAAAUCUCAAUAUUCUUAAGACUCUUAAUUGCUCAUAUGUGUACCUAAAUUCUUGAUUGGGAAUGUCUUAUUGUUUAUAACCUAUAAAGAUGGUUGGAAGUAAAAUCAGUAAAUUGAGAAUAUAAAGUGUGACCAACGUGCCAAUAGUGAAAGUUAUACUUGUGACCAAUGGUGCCAAUGAAAUGAAAUAAUGUGAGAAAGAUUAUGAAAUGAGUUUUGACUCAACUAUUUCAAAAUUGACUUCGACAAUAUAAUCGGCUAAAAUUUUAUGAACUCAAGUGAUGCCCAUAUGCGGUUGUUAUAGCUAAUGCUAUGCUUUAUAAGUAAUUUUCAAUGUGUUUUGCGUUCUUACAUAUUCGUGAGUGGAAAUUGUGUAUGAUUUUAUCUUGUACUUCAAUUGCCAAUCAUUUUACUCCAUUUAUUGGAAAGAAAUCGAUUGUGUUUAAAGCCUUCAUUACUAAUGAAUUUAAAGUUGUGAUUUCUGGAAUAUUCUAUUUGUUGAUAAUUAUGAUGAUGAUCUAUGAAAGGAAAGAAAUAAAAGUGUGGAAUAUGAAAUACGGCUAUUGCGCCAUGAACAAAGGAUCAUAUGAAUGGACAAGAGAUCCAAUGAAAUAAUAAUGGUGUAAGUUGUUGAAAGUACGGAUUAGGUGAUAUGUGGUGUGAAAGGUUAUGAGAUGUACGUAUUUGUACUUUUGUUUCCAAUGUGUUAUGAAACCCUAUGGACGGUCUAUGAAACGCAUAUGUAUAUUGUGUUAUGAAACCCUGUGGACGGUCUAUGAAACACAUAGGUAUAUUGUGUUAUGAAAUCCUGUGGACAGUCUAUGAAACGCAUAGGUACAUCAUGUUAUGAAGUACAUUGUGUUAUGAAAUCCUGUGGAUGGUCUAUAAAAUACAUAGGUACAUUGUGUUAUGAAAUCCUGUGGACGGUCUAUGAACGCAUAGGUACAUUGUGAUAUGAAAUCCUGUGGACGGUCUAUGAACGCAUAAGUACAUUGUGUUAUAAAAUUCAUUGUGAUAUGAAAUCCUGUGGACGGUCUAUGAAACGCAUAGGUGCAUUGUGUAUAAGAGGUAUAGAUGUGCGGUAUGAAUAAACACUAUGGACGGUCUAUGAAAUGCAUAAGUGUAUAAUAUGAUAUGUGAACACUAAGGACGGUCUAAUGAGUCACAUUAUUAAUGCAGGCAAUAGGUGCCCCUUUUGUUGUCUUUGUUUGUACAGGUUGUUUCAAUUACAUUAUAUUAUGUGUUCUACGUAUAGAUCAUAUGGGCAUUCUAUUUUGAAAGAGGAUUUCUAGCUAUACAUACUAGUGCUAUUCGACAGUACUAACGUCCCUUUUGUCGGGGGCACUGCAUCUUUAAUGGAUGCAGGUGAUUCUACAGCAGGUGACAUUGAUCAGUGAUAGCAGUACACUCCUUUCAGCUGAUUUGGUGAGCCCCACUUCAUUUCGAGAUCAUGUAUCUUUUGUUUCUCAUGUACUUUGUGGUUGAAGUAUAGCCGGGGCCUUGUUGCCGACAUUUCCAUAUUACUCUUCUGUUGUACUUAGAGGCUCCGUAGACAGGUUGUGGGUGAUAUUUGAUAUUGGGAAUUGGAUUAGAACUGUUGGUAUUUGGCAACAUAUUUUUCAUUAAAUCUAUAAACUCGUCCUAUUUUGGAAAUAUUGAAUGAUACUGUUAAUGGGAAUGAAAUGGAAGCGGUUAAUGAAAUCUCUUUAGUAUUUGAUUAACGGAGUACGUCUCCUCUUUAUUCACGAAUGAUUUUGGGUAGAAUGAAAUCUAACAGGCUUGCUCAGUCGGAUUCACUCGGUUGAGCUUCGGCCGCGCUUCUCGGUUUUGGGGCGUGACAGAUACGAAGGUGGAAUUCCAAAUAAAAUCUCGAAGUGGCUUUUGAGCUUAAGAACCUUGGAAGGGAACCUAUUGAUGAGAUAUGUGGCUAUUAGAAAAUAUUCUCCCCAAAAAAUAAUAGAAAGUUUUGAUUGAUAGAAUAGAGCCCUACAAGUCUCCAAAAGAUGCUUAUGUUUCCUCUCAACAACACCAUACACAAGUUGUUUGGUGUAUUAUACCUUGAGAGAAAAGAAAAUAUGAAGUCUGCAAGCUGUUUUCAAGCUCUAAAGCAUUGUCUAAUCUUAUUAUUUUUACUUUUUUGUUAUGUUGUCUUUCAACCAUGGCCAAAAUAUACUUGAGAAUCGUAAAAGCAUUGGAUUUGGUACUUAGGAGAAAAGUCCAAGUUGCUCUAUUGAAAUCAUCAAUAAAGAUCAAGAAAUAUUUGUAUCCAUCAUAUGUAGGUUCUUUAUAGGGACCCCAAGUGUCAAUGUGAAUUAGGUAAAAUAUUCCUUUAGUAGAAAUGGAACUGGAUUGGAAAGGUAGUUUGUCUUACCCUAUAUAUAUAUAUAUAUAUAUAUAUAUAUAUAUAUAUAUAUAUAUAUAUAUAUAUAUAUAUCUCANNNNNNNNNNNNNNNNNNNNNNNNNNNNNNNNNNNNNNNNNNNNNNNNNNNNNNNNNNNNNNNNNNNNNNNNNNNNNNNNNNNNNNNNNNNNNNNNNNNNNNNNNNNNNNNNNNNNNNNNNNNNNNNNNNNNNNNNNNNNNNNNNNNNNNNNNNNNNNNNNNNNNNNNNNNNNNNNNNNNNNNNNNNNNNNNNNNNNNNNNNNNNNNNNNNNNNNNNNNNNNNNNNNNNNNNNNNNNNNNNNNNNNNNNNNNNNNNNNNNNNNNNNNNNNNNNNNNNNNNNNNNNNNNNNNNNNNNNNNNNNNNNNNNNNNNNNNNNNNNNNNNNNNNNNNNNNNNNNNNNNNNNNNNNNNNNNNNNNNNNNNNNAAAGUAGAAGAAGGCAGACAAGAAAUGGUAGAAAUAUUUCUCAUAUUAGCAAAAGGCAAAUGCCCCAAUCGAUUGUGCCAUAGGCUUACAUCAUUUGAAAUAACUGCUAAACAUAAAACCGGAUCUAAAGAUUGAUUACUAGUUCUAUUACAGUUGAAAAGAAAUGGACCGAAGUCAUUGAUUCUACUAGAUAGACUGGCACUAGGCUUGAUAGAGUGGAGUAGAUAUAUCACUUUCUUUUGUUUACAAGAACCACUGGCAUGUUCAUUGAAGGGGCCUGCAAGAUUGCACCAAAAGCAGAAAAAAUGAGCAAAGAGUAAGCCUACUGACAGAACCUGUGAACUGAUAAAGAUUAUAUUUGAAACUAGGAAGAUAUAACACAUUGGACAUAAGACAAUUAGGCAGGAUAUACUCACUGCUAGCUUGUGUGACCAUGACUCUUUGAGAAUUAGGCAAGUUGACAACAACGGGUUUAGUAAGAGUUCUAAAAUAUAUUAAAAGACUAAAAUCAUAGGUCAUAUGUUCUGAAGCACCUGUACCUAAUAUCCAAAUAACUAAGUGUGAAGAAGGAGAUAGGCAAUGUUUAUGUAUAACACCACAAUUGGUAGUGAUAUUGACCUUAGAGUUCAUCUCUCCAUGAGGUGCAAAUUUUACCUGUUGGAGCAGCUGGCAUAGAUUGUUAUACUGCUUGUAAGUGUUGUUUUUUUCCUGUUGUGUUGAAUGAUAGAUUUACACCAUCAUCUGUUGUGACUGCUGCGUUUUCAUGAACACCAUUUCCUUUUUUUAAACUUCUUGUUCUUGGUAAAUUUGAAAUCUGAUGGGAGUCUAAUAAUCCUAUAGCACCUUUAAGCAGUAUGUCCUGGCUUUUUACAGUAGGAACAUAUGAGAUUGUUCCUCUUUCCUUCAAAGUGUCCUUUCUUCUCUAUGUUAGGUAGCCUCUGACCACCAUACUGUGGUUUUGCAGCCAUUAAAGCAGUUUCAAUAGGGUGCUGAGCAACCUAUAUUUUCCUUUGUUUCUCAUCCUGAAUCAGGAGUGAAUAAGCAUGGUUGAUGCUAGGCAAAGGAGAUGCCAUCAAAAUAUUUCUCUUUACACCUAAGUAGGUCUCAUUCAGUCCCAUAAGAAAUUGAAUGAGCCUGUCAUCUUGAUGAUAUUUGAGGAUCCUGCUCUUCCCUCCACAGAUGCAGCCACAAGUACAAUGAAUGCAUGUAUCAAGACUGUCCAACUCAUCCCAAAUUUUUUUCACCUUGGUAUAGUAACCUGCUAUGUCUGAACUGCCUAUGGACUAAAUCACUGAGUUCGUUUUGCAGAUGAUAGAGCAUAGCAUCAUUGCUUUGCCCAAAUCUAUCUUCUAACUCCUUCCAGAUAUCUCUAGCAGUUUUGGAGUAGUAGUACACUUUCAGCUAUUUAUUUCAAAAGAGAACUGAGCAACCAGGAAAUGACCAUGUCAUUAUAUCUAUUCCAGGCUCUAAAAUAUGGAGAAUAUCUGAGUGGUUCAAUGAUGGAUCCAUCGAUGAAUCCUAACUUAUUUUUGACUGCAAGUAUUUGGAAGACAGCCUUUCGUCAACCUCCAUAGCUUUUACCAUCAAAGAUAGAAUUGACAAGAAUCAUUCCAGGUAAAUCGGAGGGAUGAAGUUAAAAAGGGUGUGUUGAGUCGUUGUUGACAAUGGUUUGGGAUGCUUGAUUGAUUGAUGGAGAAUCACCUAUAGAGGAGAUGACUGGAUAUGUAAUCGUCAUUGGAGAGAAAGGCUAAAAAAGAACUUGAAGAAGAAAAACAGUGUGGAUCGAGUAAUUAAAUCUCUGAUACCAUAUUAAAAUUUAGAGAAGUUUUGUAUGAAAUUUUCUUCUUGUGUAUUUUAUCAGCAAACUGUACACCUAUAUAUACAAAUCUAAGAAUAAAAAUCUGUUUUGCA